GUUCAAAUAAGGGAAGGCUUACGGUGGAUACCUAGGUCCUAGAGACGAGGAAGGGCGUAGUAAUCGAUGAAAUGCUUUGAGGAGUUGAAAAUAAGCAUAGAUCCGUAGAUUCUCGAAUAGGCAACCUUUUGAACUUCUGCUGAAUCCAUGGGCAGACAAGAGAUAACCUGGCGAACUGAAACAUCUUACUAGCCAGAGGAAAACAAAGCAAAAGCAAUUCCCGUAGUAGCGGUGAGCAAAAUGGGAGUAGUCUAAACCGUGAAAAUGGGGUUAUGGGAGACAAAUACAAGCAUCAUGAUGCUAGGCGAAGCAGCCUGAAUGCUGCACCUUAGAUGGCGAAAGUCCAGUAGCAUGGGGCACUAGCUUACACUCUGACCCGAGCAGCAUGGGGCACAUGAAAUCCCGUGUGGAUCAGCAAGGACCACCUUACUAGGCUAAAUACUCCUGGGUGACCGAUAGCAAAGUAGUACUGUAAGAGAAUGGUGAAAAGAACCCCCAUUGGGAAGUGAAAUAGAACAUGAAACCGUAAUCUCCUAAGCAGUGGGAGGAGCUACGGCUCUUACCACGUGCCUGUGAAGAAUGAGCAUGCGACUCAUAGGCAGUGUCUUAAUUAAGGGAACCCACCUGAGUCGUAGUGAAAGCGAGUCUUCGUAGAUCUAUUUUCACAGCUUAUGGACCCAAACCUGGGUGAUCUAUCCACGACCAGGAUGAAGUUUGGGUGAAACUAAAUGGAGGUCCGAGCCGACUGAUGUUGAAAAAUCAGCGGAUGAGUUGUGGUAAAGGGUGAAAUUCCACUCGAACACAGAGCUAGAUGGUUCUCCCCAAAAUGCGUUGAGGCGCAGCAGUUGACUGGAAAUCUAGGGGUAAAGCACUGUUUCGGUGAGGUCUGGGAGAGCGGUACCAAAUUGAGGCAAACUCUAAAUACUAUAUAUGACCUCAAAAUAAUAGGGGUCACUGUCGGCUAGUGAGACAAUGGGGGAUAAGCUUCAUCGUUGAUAAAGAAACAGCCUGGAUCACCAGCUAAGGCAGCUAAAUGACCGAGCAGUGCUAAAAGAGGUAGGCCCUUAAAUAGCUCACCGAUCCAGCGCUCUUGCACCGAAGAUGAACGGGGCUAAGCGGUCUACCGAAGCUGUGGGAUGUAAAAAUACAUCGGUAGGGGAGCAUUCCGCCUUAGAGAGAAGCCUCCGCGUGAGCGGUGGUGGAUGAAGCGGAAGCGAGAAUGUCGGCUUGAGUAACGCAAACAUUGGUGAGAAUCUAAUUCCCCAAAAACCUAAGGGUUCCUCUGCAAGGUUCGUCUACAAAGGGUGAGUCAGGGCCUAAGAUUAGGUCAAAAGGCGUCGUCGAUGGACAAUAGGUGAAUAUUCCUGUACUGCCCCUUGUUAGUCCUGAGGGACGGAGGAGGCUAGGUUAUCCAAAAGAUGGUUAUCGGUUCAAAAACGUAAGGUGUCCCUUAUUUUUCAGCGUAAGAAGGGGUAGAGAAAAUGUCUUUAGCCAAUGUUCGAAUACCAGGAGCUACGACGCUGAAGUAACCUAUGUCAUACUUCUAGGAAAAGCUCGAACGACGUUAAGCAAGAGGAUACUUGCACCCAAAACCGACACAGAUGGAUUGGUAGAGAAUACCUAGGGGCGGAACUCGGCAAAAUAGCCCCGUAACUUUGGGAGAAGGGGUGCCUCCUCACAAAGGGGGUCGUAGUGACCAGAAACCACGUCUCCGCAAAGUUGUAAGACCAUGUAUGGGGGUUGACGCCUGCCUAGUGCCGGAAGGUCAAGGAUGUUGGUGACCUGAUAAGAGGGAUCCGACGAUCGAAGCCUCGGUGAACGGCGGUCGUAACUAUAACGGUUCUAAGGUAGAGAAAUUCUUUGUCAUGUAAGUUUGACCUACACGAAAGGCGUAACGAUUUGGGCACUAUAUUAGAGAGAGGCUCGGUGAAAUAGACAUGUUUGUGAAGAUGGGGACUACCUGCACCUGGACAGAAAGGCCCUAUGAAGCUUCACUGUUCCCUAGGAUUCGCUUUGGGCCUUUCCUGCGCAGCUUAGGUGGAAGGCGAAGAAGGCCUCCUUCUGGAGGGCCCAAGCCAUCAGUAAGAUACCACUCUGGAAGAGCUAGAAUUCUAACCUUGUGUCAGGACCUACAGGCCAAGGGACAGUAUCAAGUAGAUUGUUUCUAUGGGGCGUAGGCCUCCCAAUAGAACGGAGGUGUGCAAAGGUUUUCUCGGGCCGGAUGGACAUUGGACUUCGAGUGCAAAGGCAGAAGGGAUCUUGACUGUAAGACCCACCCGUCAAGCAGGGACGAAAUUCGGCCUUAGUGAUCCGACGGUGCCGAGUGGAAGUGUCAUCGCUCAAUGGAUAAAAGUUACUCUAGGGAUAACAGGCUGAUCUUUCCCAAGAGCUCACAUCGACGAGAAGGUUUGGCACCUAGAUGUCGGCUAUUCGCCACCUAAGGCUGUAGUAUGUUCAAAGGCUUGGGCUGUUUGCCCAUUAAAGCGGUACGCGAGCUAGGUUUAGAACGUUGUGAGACAGUUCGGUCCAUAUUUGGUGUGGGAGUUAGAGCAUUGAGAGGACCUUUCCCUAGUAUGAGAGGAUCGGGAAAGACGUACCUCUGGUGUACCAGUUAUCGUGCCCACAGUAAACGCUGGUUAGCCAAGUGCAGAGCGGAUAACUACUGAAAGCAUCUAAGUUGUAAGCCCACCCGAAAAUGAGUUCUCUCCUAUUCCGACUUCCCCAGAUCUUACGGUAGCACAACCGAGACAGCGAUGGGUUCUCUGCCCCUACGAGGAUGGAGCGACAGAAGUUUUUUUGAGAAAUCAAGAGAAGUUCAAAGCGAGAUGAGCCAUUUAUCAUUACGAUAGGUGUAAAGUGGAAGUGUAGUGAUGUAUGCAGCUGAGGCAUCCUAACAGACCGGUAGACUUGAACCU
Solanum lycopersicum (tomato) is the source of this 2915-nucleotide non-coding RNA. Lineage: Eukaryota; Viridiplantae; Streptophyta; Magnoliopsida; Solanales; Solanaceae. The record is from Rfam.